UUUGUUCAAAUUAAGAGUAAAUAUUAUCCGGAUUUAGUUGCCAUAGCCUAUAGUACACUCAUGAUUGAGAUUGAUGAGGAAGAUGAAUCAAAUUUCACAUUAUUCUUCAAGAUAGGAAGAAAGGAUUAUAGGCUAGAUGGUGAUGAGUUAGCCACCAUUUGGGAGUUGCCAAAUCAAGGUGACUUGUUUCAAGGUGGUAAAACCCCAAUUGAUGAAUGGGGUUAUUCAAAGGACAA
RNAcentral lists this long non-coding RNA (236 nucleotides) under Arachis ipaensis. Its description in RNAcentral is "long non-coding RNA (AIPA_LNC002516)". The record is from RNAcentral. Lineage: Eukaryota; Viridiplantae; Streptophyta; Magnoliopsida; Fabales; Fabaceae.